ACCAACAGGAGAAAGUAUGUCCGCUGGUCAGGGCUGGCUUCCGGGGACACGGCAUCCAGAAGUAGGGCAGGGCUGCGUGGGACGUGCACAUUCUUGAUGGAGAGGACGCGGUGCCCCACUUGGUCCUGGCAGGACGUGACACCCUAGGAAGUAACUGGUAUGGAGUUGAGUGUCGCACAGAGAACUCGGUUGACAGGUUCUUCAGGUGUCCGUGAAGAUUCUCUGUCAAGGAGAAGAAGGUCUGUGUUUGCUUAGGCACAGAUACUCGUGUACUCCAAGCUGACUGGUGACCCCUGCUGUCCCUCCGUGAGCUCUCCUGCUGACCAUUCGCUCACCUACUCCUCUUCUCAUAGGUACUUCCCACAACCAUCCUAUACCUGCACGCUGGUGGGUUCCACCAGCCAGUCAGAUGGGUCUGAAGACAGAAGACUUGGUGGGCUUGAACUCCAUAAGGGCUAGCCUAGAACUCUAUCAAGAAGUUCUCUCCUAGGACAGAAUGCAUUCUCGUGUGUAACCACUGACUCUAAGGGUACAGUCAGUGCUGUCUCCUUCCUCUUCUGCACUCAGGUGCCACCAUAAGGAAUGAGGACAGCCUGGCUCACCCAGACCAGGGCCAGAUAACUCAAGAUACCUCACGCCAACUCUGGGACAAUCGUGGAAGCCAUCAUCUUCAUCCAUGAAGCACGUCUCCAACUGGAGACAGCCAGAGCCACAAAAUCUGAUAGCAGCAUAUAGCCUGAGCUGGAGAGGAUGAUCUGUAGAGUGUGUUUGAACUCAGAGACAUGGUGACUUCACUCUAAAUGCAAGAGCUGGCAGACUCUAGCCAGAGCCAACCUGCAAAGCUGGUGUUCCUGAAAACUAAAGAGGGAAAAAGGACACUCAGAGAGAGUGGCUA
Molecule: small RNA, 895 nt
Filed under: Rattus norvegicus (Norway rat)
Lineage: Eukaryota; Metazoa; Chordata; Mammalia; Rodentia; Muridae
Description: uncharacterized LOC102552167
Source: RNAcentral